AGUUCGGAUUGCAGGCUGCAACCCGCCUGUAUGAAGUUGGAAUCGCUAGUAAUCGCGGAUCAGCAUGCCGCGGUGAAUACGUUCCCGGGCCUUGUACACACCGCCCGUCACACCAUGAGAGUCGGGAACACCCGAAGUCCGUAGCCUAACCGCAAGGGGGCGCGGCCGAAGGUGGGUUCGAUAAUUGGGGUGAAGUCGUAACAAGGUAUC
This 210-nucleotide ribosomal RNA is filed under the name uncultured bacterium. RNAcentral describes it as "partial 16S ribosomal RNA". It matches the Rfam family "Bacterial small subunit ribosomal RNA", at positions 1290 to 1500 of the family's 1533-position model. The record is from RNAcentral.